AAAACUUGAAAGCAAAUCAAAACCUAAUCCUAAGAUAAAAGAACACCAGCAUUUGAAGAAGUGAAGGGAAGAUUCAAGCAUUACCUGAGCUCGCCGUCACCGUCGAAGGUGAGCCUUUUUAACAGCCUUUGCCUCUGUUUGCAUAUAGAGUGAAGUUUGGGGAAGGUUGGGGACGCGAGAGAGAGGUUUGAGAGACGAUGCUUGAGCGAUUUCGUGAGGGAGACGGGAGUUUGAGGACUUGAGCGAUUUCGUGAGGGAGACGAGAGAAGAGGGAUUGAGAGCGAAUACGGCAAGAGAGGGGUUCGUGAGAUUGGGGAAGGCAAUUAUUGAGAGUGUGAGAGAGAAGCGAGUUUGUGAGGCAUCUAUUACUAUCCCUUUUUCUUUUUUUCUUUUCUUUAAUUUAUUUUUAAACAGAAUAAGUUUUUGAAAGCAUCAAAGAUUUUGUUUAAAAUUCCUAGGUUAUUAGUUAAUAAUUGUUUUUAUAUUUUCAACUUAUACCCCAUUGAAAACCCAACAGCCAAGCGGCUGGGUUUAGUUAUUGGUAGUCCAACAGUUUUCUUUUUUAUUAGUUUUUUAUUUUAAUUCUAAUUUUUAAUCUAUCUUGGUUUAUUUAUCCAAACUAGCAUUAAAAUAACAACUAGUCAUAAGUGGCCUGGUGGAGAUGGGUAGUUUCCAUAGUCUUAAGUGAAGUGGGUUCAAUACUCAUAUGUAGCAUUUUUUUUUUAGCAUUUUAUUUCUUU
Molecule: long non-coding RNA, 740 nt
Filed under: Lathyrus oleraceus (garden pea)
Lineage: Eukaryota; Viridiplantae; Streptophyta; Magnoliopsida; Fabales; Fabaceae
Description: Pisum sativum (pea) long non-coding RNA (PSAT_LNC025115)
Source: RNAcentral